CGGGAUGAUGAGGGAAGUUUCGUCCGAGCGGUGAGGAAACUCGCAUGGGCUGACC
This 55-nucleotide unclassified non-coding RNA is filed under the name Thermococcus thioreducens. RNAcentral describes it as "Small nucleolar RNA sR4". The record is from RNAcentral. Lineage: Archaea; Methanobacteriati; Methanobacteriota; Thermococci; Thermococcales; Thermococcaceae.